UCUUCUAUGGAUGCAGAGAAUAUUUCCAUAAACUAUUAAUUCAGGGUGAUUCUUCUGGAAGGUUGAAUAUUUGGAACAUAUCAGACACAGCUGAUAAACAGGAAAGUGAAGAAGGGCUGGCAAUGACAACUUCUAUUAGUUUGCAAGAGGCAUUUGAUAAACUGAAUCCUUGUCCUGCUGGAAUUAUAGAUCAGCUGAGUGUGAUUCCCAAUAGUAAUGAACCUCUUAAAGUAACUGCAAGUGUGUACAUACCAGCACAUGGACGACUUGUUUGUGGUCGUGAAGAUGGAAGCAUAGUUAUUGUACCUGCCACACAGACGGCCAUAGUACAGCUGUUGCAAGGGGAACACAUGCUCAGAAGAGGUUGGCCACCUCACAGAACACUCCGUGGUCAUCGGAACAAAGUCACAUGUUUGCUAUAUCCUCAUCAGGUCUCAGCUCGGUAUGAUCAAAGAUACCUGAUAUCUGGAGGUGUGGAUUUUUCAGUCAUAAUUUGGGACAUAUUUUCUGGAGAAAUGAAACAUAUCUUCUGUGUUCAUGGUGGUGAGAUUACUCAACUUCUAGUUCCACCUGAAAACUGUAGUGUAAGUUGAUUUAUAUAAAAUAUUAUUUCACUA
RNAcentral lists this small RNA (617 nucleotides) under Pongo abelii (Sumatran orangutan). Its description in RNAcentral is "retained intron". The record is from RNAcentral. Lineage: Eukaryota; Metazoa; Chordata; Mammalia; Primates; Hominidae.